Molecule: long non-coding RNA, 2028 nt
Organism: Hydractinia symbiolongicarpus
Lineage: Eukaryota; Metazoa; Cnidaria; Hydrozoa; Anthoathecata; Hydractiniidae
Exons: 3
Source: RefSeq, a predicted model, not a curated record
AGUUAACCAUCAACCUGUUUUUCUAAGGAUUUGUGGCAAUAGAAGUUGAACUGCAAUAUUUAAUGUUUAAUUUGAUGUUAUGUUCGUGAAAAGACUACAAACAACAAAAGAAACCAUAAACUUGUCAGAUUUACUCACCUUUUUUAAUUCUAUGACGAAAAUGAAAGUAUCUAUUUAUCAUUCACAUUAAAACUAAUCUUUAGGCAAUGUUACCUUUUAUUUGUUGCAGGUCCCUGAUAAAAAGUUAAUAUUAUCAAAAAGACUUUAAAAAAGCUCUUGAACUUUUUUGAUUUCGUUAAAAGCAUAAAAUAUCACAUUUUAUGAAGAAAAUUAACUUUAUAAACACUUGUCUGGAAACAUUACUUUUACUAAGCUUAUCUAGAGUUUAGUAAAAAAAGGGAAAUAAUGAAGUAACUGAAUGUAAUCCAGCAUUCUCAGUGGCUAAUAAAUGGCUAUUUUCAAAUUCAUUUAACACAAACUAUCAUAUUUAGGCUUCUCAUUUUGAAGAUAUGUGCUUACGUGAUGAAUCACGUAUGUCAGUUGACGACGUCACGAGAUUGCGCAGCAUACCUAAUUUACUCCAGGCACGCGAUUUCAAAAUAGCGAUUUAUAUGUUUAUCGACCUAGUCCCUGGGGCCAAAAUCUUUCCACUUUCCUGCACAAAUUGUAAACUAGUGCUCAGGUAUGUUCUUCCGUAUGGGUUGACAGAAGCUCAGAAAAGUGAGAUCGAGGUUCGCAAUUUCUGUUCACAAGUAUACGUUUUCUGAAAGUUCCUCACUCGAUCAAUCAACUAAUAUGUACACACACAAGAACAGAGAAAAGUUUGAAGAGUGGCUAAUAUCUGAGGGGGGGAACGUAAUGGAGGCAUCAUGUAACAAGAUAUGCAUGAUGAAAUUGUUGCAUAUUUGGUGAAAAGUUGACGGCUUCCCAACGAGUAAUUUUAGGAGUCGAAAAAGGAGGAGCGUGUAAAAAGACAUAUUUAUAAAUUGAUGGAUUAUCCAACACUGGGACUUCACAACGUUUUGUGUGUGAAAUGGACGAGUAUCAAAAAUCUCGAAUGAUACUUUCUUGGGUUGCUGGUGACAUUAACGCCUAAUUAAUUGUUAGUGAAAAAUGAGGAAGCGUCAUUAAGCUUACUACCAAAUCAAUAAAAAACAUACCUGAUUCAGUUCGUGAUGACGUUGUGCAUCCAGAUAUCGAAGUCCUGUACCAAUGGUGAAUUUAUUAAACGAAUCAAGCAGUUGAUAGCGUCAAAGAAGAAAAAUUCAAGGAAGUGUGGCGAUUGUAAGGCUUUGAUAACGAAAGAUAGAAGUAUUGUCUGUGACGGAUGCCUUAUUAGGAGCCAUUACAAGUGUACUAGAUUAAGAGGAAAACCUACUGGUAAUUGGUUCUGUAAUACCUGCGUGGCUAGUUUUGCAGAGAACGAAAUGUCUGACAAAGAGAAUGAUUUAGAGACCAAAUAGACUGAUUUACUUAAAAGAACCCUUAAAUACGGAGUUCUCCCUACGCUUGUGGGAAAAUCAGCAGAUUCGCAGCACAAUAUCCUGUUAAAUCUGAAAUCGGGUGGUGCUUUUCAGGUUGCUGCUAACAUACAGAAAAUCGAAAAGAGAGACCCAGAAUUCGCUCUACAGCUUGGCAAGUGUUUAAGAAGCUCGGCACCAGUAGGACUUAUUGGAAUUUUUCUGAUGAUUUACCAUUUGGUACUAAAAGAGUAAGAGUCUUUUAUAAUUUCAGAACUGUUCACGGUUGUAAAACGUAUUUGUGCUUUCUUUUUAUUUGACUAGCGUUAUGUUUGGUAUUAUGUUACUUUUGACUUUUUCUUAUUUUUGUUCUUAGCUUUUUUCAUUUUUUUUUUUUUUUGUUUUUUUUUACUUUUAUGUACAUAUAUUUCAUAUGUAUUCGCAUUAUAUUUAUAUAGCUAUGAGUAAGACACAUCUAUUUAAAGUACCUGCAUAGUAUCAUGUAUUUUAAUAUAUUACAAAAUAUACUCUCUAUAGAUAAAAGCUAUUUUAAAAAGCUAUUUUAAAA